CCACAUGAAGUCUUAAGAUGC
This 21-nucleotide non-coding RNA is filed under the name Arabidopsis thaliana (thale cress). Lineage: Eukaryota; Viridiplantae; Streptophyta; Magnoliopsida; Brassicales; Brassicaceae. The record is from RNAcentral.